UUUUUUUUUUUUUUUUUGAGGUCUUGAACCAGGACUUCCUAAUUACAAUCUCUCCUAUCUUAUAAGAACAUUUAUAUGUAAUCUGAUCCAAAGCCUAAACGUCCAUUUAUUGCAAACACAAGUGUAUGCAUGCUUACUUCUAUACUUGCAUAUUACUGAUAAAGAAGCAAUUACCAAAGUUCAAAUUGAACUUGGGUGGAAAUCUCUUUUAGAGUUGUAUGAAACAUCAUAUUUUUGUUGAUUACUCAUUUCAAGUGUUUUGAGGUGAAAAUUUUCCUGGGCAUGAAAUUUACUCAUCAAGCCUUUAUGACAAGCACUAUUGUCAUUUGGUCAGCAAAAAAUUAGAUCUAAUUAGUGGUCUGUCGUUGCCAACUAAACCAACUUGUAUUGGCUUACUAUUUGUUAGGUAGCUUCAAUAUGUGAAGCCCAAGUUGCAAGCUGGAAUUAAGCUGAUUCAAAUUAGGAAAACGAUAAGCCCCUUGGUCCACAUGUCAAAGGAACAAUAAAUUCUGAUAUGUCACAUGUAAUGCCUAAUGAACGUUCAAAUAUAGGUGGGCAGAAGUUGCAUUCAUGGUUCUCACGGAUGACAGAGGAAUCUAGUUCCAGAUGCUCAUUCAUUUCGGCAAAUAGGGACUUGCCAAAAUUCAGUUACAUGUAAAGUUGGAAAGACUUAUGUCACAUCACCAGCUGAGCUCUGCAAUGACAAGGGAAACUGUGUCCAUGUGAAUUCCAUCUCAUGAUUAGUCAGUGUAACAAAAAGAGAGUUUUAAUGGUUUAGCAACUGAUGGUAAAAUGAACCUAGGAGUCAGGGUGUAGGCCAAAUUUCAACUUUUGCUGGCUUGUAAUGGUGAGAAGAAAGAAAAAGAUUGCCUUGAACCUUCUAUAUUAUUCACAAGGGAAAUUAUCAACAACCAAUGCAGAAGGGAAAUCACCAACCUUUCUGUAGUUAUGCAGCAAGCAGAGUAGGCAAAUGCACAUUCUAGGCAACUAGCAAUGUUACGCAAUCUGCACGAAACAUCUCAAAAGAGGAACAAUCGUGUGUAUCAGUUAGACUGCAGAUUUUCAUUUUUUUUUUCUUUGUGCAAUGUUGUAGAAAGUCAGAAAAUGAAUUGAAGCACAAUUAUAGGAACGGUAUGAAAGUUAAGGGUUUCCAGAAAAGGAUCACCAUUUACAUUGUUUAAUAGAAUUAUUCCAAUGAUUUGGUGUCCAUAAAACAAUGAGAGGAGAAGAAUGCUAACUAGCGAUCUGUUUUGUCUAACUUUCUCAUCUAAAAUACUCUUUUCUGAUAUAUGCCUGGUUGAAUCUGAAAGUUUCAUGAUCGCUUCGGCUGCUGGUGAUUACUAGCAUGAAAACCUUCUGUGUAAGCAGUGUUCUUGAAAAUUGU
Molecule: long non-coding RNA, 1384 nt
Filed under: Coffea arabica (coffee)
Lineage: Eukaryota; Viridiplantae; Streptophyta; Magnoliopsida; Gentianales; Rubiaceae
Description: long non-coding RNA (CARA_LNC000273)
Source: RNAcentral